AAUUUUUCUAUUACCCAACAAAAGUCUGGUGGUGACAUUUCCAUGGUGAUAGACCUCUUUGCUUUCAAUAACUUGUUCAUCCACCACCUUAGUCUCCAUGGUCCCACAGUAGUAGAGUCCCAGGUCAGAUUCAGUGAUGUUCUCAAUCAGUAGGUCAUAGGUGUUGUUUGAUGGGUUCCACAGUGGAGUGAACCGAGGAAAAUUCACUGUCGUUCUAACUGGCAUAAUUAGAAGAGGCUGAUGCUGGUGAGAGCAGUUCCUGAACCAUGUGAUAUAUAUUCCAGUGGAUGGUCUGCAGUCACAGUACAGAGUCACAUUGUGUCCUGGUCUGACUAUCAGCUCCACCUCAGAUCCAGAGAUCCCAUCCUGACUGGAGGAGACAGCACCUACAGGUCAAAGAGUCAAUGGAAACAGUGGUGGCUUACUCCCACACCUGGAGCCUCUGGCCUACAUUACUGAAAAGUACCAGAGGAAGCAGGACGAUCACAGACUCACACCCAGGCAGGCAAGCUCCUAUGAAAACACACACACACAGACUGACACAUUCCGACAGACCACAAAACUACAGCAAAUUGUGGCUUAAGUUGUG
Molecule: long non-coding RNA, 589 nt
Organism: Esox lucius (northern pike)
Lineage: Eukaryota; Metazoa; Chordata; Actinopteri; Esociformes; Esocidae
Source: Ensembl